Molecule: small RNA, 2003 nt
Filed under: Arabidopsis thaliana (thale cress)
Lineage: Eukaryota; Viridiplantae; Streptophyta; Magnoliopsida; Brassicales; Brassicaceae
Description: ATSL031370
Source: RNAcentral
CCGCUCUAAUAAGGAGAGUCAGCUACUUGGAUUAACAUGAGUGAUCAAAAUGAAUAAGAAAAUCCAAGUAUUUUAGGGUAUCCAUGAGUUCAAAUUUGAUGCAGACAUGAUAAUUAAAGAUCAGAUUCAGGUUCAAAUUGAUAGGGAAUGGUAUCAGAUCAAGGCAUGGUUCAGUUUUAUUUCAAAUUCAUUGACUACGCAACAGACAACUAGCAACGAGGGCACUGAGUUUAUCCGGUGAAUCAAAAUGCUUACAAGGCUAUCUCAUCAUCAUCCCCUAUGCAUAUGCAACAAUCCUAAAUAAAACACUUUAGACUCGAUCCUAAAUGUAAUGCAACUACAAGAACACUCUUUUUUUUUGUGAAAUCAUUUUCUGAAAUUUUUCAAAUUUUUUUGGUUUUUCUAUGCCUUAGAUGAAUGCAGACUCAAGAAUAUAUACAAUGCAACACACACUUCCUGAGCCCUCCCCCAAACUUAAAUCACACAGUCCACUGUGCGAAUAAACUUGGAAGAGAGUACUCAGGACAAAUCCAAUCACAGAAACAAAAUGAAAUAAAAACAAAUCACAACAGAUGAUAUAAUACAAUGGUGAAGUGAGGCGCUUACCUCAGUCGAAGAAUGAACGUAGUUGCUCGUCAAUGGCUGCCUGUGAUUGCUCCCAGGCCAUAGACAAACCACCUUGUUCUGUAUCAGCUCCAGCAGGUGGGUACUCAACCUCAUUAGCUCUAUGGCGACCAGCACCGCUCUGAGGAUACUCGACCUCUCUUCUUCUGCUGCGGCCAGCACCGCGGUCGAGUGAUCUCUUGGCGUGGAUAAGCUAAAACAUGGUCGAGUAUUUUUCAUUUCUCUGUGGUCGAGUAUACUGCUUUACUCGCAGAGCCAGAAUCCAUUUCACUCGUCUCUUUAUACUUAUCUCCUGAAGACACUAACCAAAUGCAUCAAAAUCAACAAGGAAAAAUAAAGAUAUGUACAAAGAUAGACAUGGGAUUUCCUCCCAAGUGAGCUUGUUUUAAGUCUCUAAGCUUGACUUCUCAUACUCGUUAGGCUCAGGGUAGGUUGCAGAGAGGAAAUGUGGUCUCCUCUCUUUCUUGAGUAGAGUGAUCAUCAUACUCAUUAGGGUUUCUUAACAGGUCUGCAAUUGGGUACUCAGAGGCCAUGUCCUCACAGUAAGCUUCUUUUUUUAUCAAGAUAGUCUUCUCCUCUAGACCAUUCCGAUGUGAAUUCACAUCCUUCUUUGCUGACAAGAAUAGUGGCUCCAUCGUCAGGGGCGUUCUUGAUGUUGAGUGGUACUUGGUUGGCUUUUCCAUUGAGCUCCUUGAUUUGAUCCUUCAGCUCUUUCACAAUAUGUGUUAGCUCUUGUAUGGCUUUGUCCUGCCAUUUAGAUCUCUCCUUGAGUUCUAACCAAUCAUCUAACGUCUGAGUGCUUGCAAUGAGUUGUUUGGUCAAGCAUGAGCUUUUAGGGCAAGUUGGAGGCUUCUUCGAGUUGUUGGUGGAAUCAGUUGGUCGAGCAUGUGUUGAACUUACUUCAUUAGCUUUCAUAACCUUUGUGUCAGACCCCAUCAAGCCCUUGUAAAUCUUUGAGCCAACUGUUGCCUUGUGUGAGUCUAAUGACUUCUCAGAACUCAAAGUUUCACUAGGGAGAUACCCAGCUUUACCACUCUUGGUCAAAACAGUUUUUGAGUUAUUUGCUUCUUUAAGUUCCACUAGAAGUUCAUCAACUAGUCGAUCCGUUUCCUCAACUAAGAAGGUUUGUCCUUCUAUUGUCGGCUUCUUCAUAGCAUCAUUGAUGUCAAACUUCAUUUUAAAAUCCUUCCCCAUAUUAAGAUCAAUCUUUCCUUGCUUAACAUCUAUAAUUGCUCCAGCUGUAGCCAAAAAGGGUCUUCCUAAGAUCAAGGGAUCUUUUGGUUCUUCAUCCAUGUUCAAUAUUAUGAAGUCUGUAGGCACCUCCACCUUUCCAAUCUUGAUAGGCAAAUCUUCUAAUACCCCAUGAGGUUGUCUAACUG